UAAAACUACUAAAAUACCCCCUAAAAUAUUUAUAAAAAAAAAGAGGUAUAGAGUUGGGAGUAUUUUGGUACUUUCA
This 76-nucleotide small RNA is filed under the name Salix viminalis (osier). Lineage: Eukaryota; Viridiplantae; Streptophyta; Magnoliopsida; Malpighiales; Salicaceae. The record is from RNAcentral.